AACAUACAACAGUAGGGAUUCGCAUGUGGUCACCCACCAUACUACUAACCUACCGGCGUGUGGCUUAAGUACGGCUGAGCGGACGGGAAGCCCUGUUCUCCACACCCUAUGGUCGUAUGU
RNAcentral lists this ribosomal RNA (120 nucleotides) under Aspergillus nidulans FGSC A4. The record is from RNAcentral. Lineage: Eukaryota; Fungi; Ascomycota; Eurotiomycetes; Eurotiales; Aspergillaceae.